This 200-nucleotide ribosomal RNA is filed under the name Salmonella enterica subsp. enterica serovar Thompson. Its description in RNAcentral is "partial 16S ribosomal RNA". It matches the Rfam family "Bacterial small subunit ribosomal RNA", at positions 1 to 208 of the family's 1533-position model. The record is from RNAcentral. RNAcentral also lists the same sequence under 12 other names. Lineage: Bacteria; Pseudomonadati; Pseudomonadota; Gammaproteobacteria; Enterobacterales; Enterobacteriaceae.
AAAUUGAAGAGUUUGAUCAUGGCUCAGAUUGAACGCUGGCGGCAGGCCUAACACAUGCAAGUCGAACGGUAACAGGAAGCAGCUUGCUGCUUCGCUGACGAGUGGCGGACGGGUGAGUAAUGUCUGGGAAACUGCCUGAUGGAGGGGGAUAACUACUGGAAACGGUGGCUAAUACCGCAUAACGUCGCAAGACCAAAGAG